RNAcentral lists this ribosomal RNA (424 nucleotides) under uncultured bacterium. Its description in RNAcentral is "partial 16S ribosomal RNA". It matches the Rfam family "Bacterial small subunit ribosomal RNA", at positions 360 to 776 of the family's 1533-position model. The record is from RNAcentral.
AAUUUUGGACAAUGGUUGAAACCCUGAUCCAGCCAUCCCGCGUGUAUGAUUAAGGCCUUCUAGUUAUAAAGUACUUUUGGCAGAGAAAAAAAGGUAUCUCCUAAUACGAGAUACUGCUGACGGUAUCUGCAGAUUAAGCACCGGCUAACUACCUGCCAGCAGCCGCGGUAAUACGUAGGGUGCAAGCGUUAAUCGGAAUUACUGGGCGUCAAGCGUGUGUAGGCGGUACGGAAAGAAAGAUGUGAAAUCCCAGGGCUCAACCUUGGAACUGCAUUUUUAACUGCCGAGCUAGAGUAUGUCAGAGGGGGGUAGAAUUCCACGUGUAGCAGUGAAAUGCGUAGAUAUGUGGAGGAAUACCGAUGGCGAAGGCAGCCCCCUGGGAUAAUACUGACGCUCAGACACGAAAGCGUGGGGAGCAAACAGG